AACCCCAUCAAGCCCGGCUUGGUAUUGGGCGUCGGGAGCACACCCGCGCCUCAAUUUCGCCGGCUGGACGACCCCGAUCUCAGCGUUGUGACACAAUAUCUCGCUGGUGAGACGGGCGGCCACGCCGUGAAACAUUUCGAUUAA
This 144-nucleotide unclassified non-coding RNA is filed under the name uncultured Ascomycota. RNAcentral describes it as "sequence contains ITS2". Lineage: Eukaryota; Fungi; Ascomycota. The record is from RNAcentral.